UACGUAGGGUGCGAGCGUUAAUCGGAAUUACUGGGCGUAAAGCGUGCGCAGGCGGUUUUGUAAGCCAGAUGUGAAAGCCCUGGGCUCAACCUGGGAAUGGCAUUUGAAACUGGCCGGCUAGAGUGUGAUAGAGGAUGGCGGAAUUCCCGGUGUAGCGGUGAAAUGCGUAGAGAUCGGGAGGAACAUCCGUGGCGAAGGCGGCCAUCUGGAUCAACACUGACGCUGAGGCACGAAAGCGUGGGGAGCAAACAGG
RNAcentral lists this ribosomal RNA (253 nucleotides) under uncultured bacterium. Its description in RNAcentral is "partial 16S ribosomal RNA". It matches the Rfam family "Bacterial small subunit ribosomal RNA", at positions 524 to 776 of the family's 1533-position model. The record is from RNAcentral.